AUUGAACGCUGGCGGCAUGCCUUACACAUGCAAGUCGAACGGCAGCACGGGAGCAAUCCUGGUGGCGAGUGGCGAACGGGUGAGUAAAGUAUCGGAACGUGCCCAGUCGUGGGGGAUAACGUAGCGAAAGUUACGCUAAUACCGCAUACGAUCUAUGGAUGAAAGCGGGGGAUCGCAAGACCUCGCGCGAUUGGAGCGGCCGAUAUCAGAUUAGGUAGUUGGUGGGGUAAAGGCUCACCAAGCCGACGAGCUGUAGCUGGUCUGAGAGGACGACCAGCCACACUGGGACUGAGACACGGCCCAGACUCCUAGGGGGGUCAGCAGUGGGGAAUUUUGGACAAUGGGCGAAAGCCUGAUCCAGCCAUGCCGCGUGCAGGAUGAAGGCCUUCGGGUUGUAAACUGCUUUUGUACGGAACGAAAAGGUUUGGCCUAAUAAGCUGAGCUCAUGACGGUACCGUAAGAAUAAGCACCGGCUAACUACGUGCCAGCAGCCGCCGUAA
This 500-nucleotide ribosomal RNA is filed under the name uncultured bacterium. RNAcentral describes it as "partial 16S ribosomal RNA". It matches the Rfam family "Bacterial small subunit ribosomal RNA", at positions 30 to 523 of the family's 1533-position model. The record is from RNAcentral.